UACGAAGGGGGCUAGCGUUGUUCGGAAUCACUGGGCGUAAAGGGCGCGUAGGCGGCUUUAUAAGUCGGGGGUGAAAGCCUGUGGCUCAACCACAGAAUUGCCUUCGAUACUGUAGAGCUUGAGACCGGAAGAGGUAAGUGGAACUGCGAGUGUAGAGGUGAAAUUCGUAGAUAUUCGCAAGAACACCAAUGGCGAAGGCGGCUUACUGGUCCGGUUCUGACGCUGAGGCGCGAAAGCGUGGGGAGCAAACAGG
This 253-nucleotide ribosomal RNA is filed under the name uncultured bacterium. RNAcentral describes it as "partial 16S ribosomal RNA". It matches the Rfam family "Bacterial small subunit ribosomal RNA", at positions 524 to 776 of the family's 1533-position model. The record is from RNAcentral.